Molecule: long non-coding RNA, 334 nt
Filed under: Cicer arietinum (chickpea)
Lineage: Eukaryota; Viridiplantae; Streptophyta; Magnoliopsida; Fabales; Fabaceae
Description: long non-coding RNA (CARI_LNC000481)
Source: RNAcentral
UGAAGUUGGGUUGAUUAAGUUUUGAUGUAAUUAUGUGUUCAUAAUUGAUUUAAUGAAUAUUCGAAGUGUUGAUUCAUUCAGAGCUAUUUUAGAACUGAAAAUUUGCAUUUUCUUUGUUGUAUUCAGCUACGACAGUGCAAUUUGUUAAAACUUUAUUUUUCAACAUUGUUUAUGCAUUUUUGGACAUAUGAAAACCCUUUCAAGGAGUAUGCUAAGACGAAAGGUUCUUUUGAGCAUUUGAAAAUUAUUGUGGAAAUUUGGGCUUUGCCCUUAGAUGAUACCCGAGUUCAUUCCACCGACUGUUACCUUGACGACGGAGACGUCGUUAGACUUC